UGGCCUACGGGAGGCAGCAGUGGGGAAUAUUGCGCAAUGGGCGAACGCCUGACGCAGCGACGCCGCGUGAGGGAUGAAGGUCUUCGGAUCGUAAACCUCUGUCAGCAGGGCAGAACGGUCACUGUGCUAAUCAGCAGUGAAUUGACGGUACCUGCAAAGGAAGCACCGGCUAACUCCGUGCCAGCAGCCGCGGUAAUACGGAGGGUGCUAGCGUUAAUCGGAAUUACUGGGCGUAACGCGCUCGUAGGC
Molecule: ribosomal RNA, 249 nt
Filed under: uncultured bacterium
Lineage: Bacteria
Description: partial 16S ribosomal RNA
Rfam family: Bacterial small subunit ribosomal RNA
Source: RNAcentral